RNAcentral lists this ribosomal RNA (440 nucleotides) under uncultured bacterium. Its description in RNAcentral is "partial 16S ribosomal RNA". It matches the Rfam family "Bacterial small subunit ribosomal RNA", at positions 338 to 795 of the family's 1533-position model. The record is from RNAcentral.
CCUACGGGUGGCAGCAGUGGGGAAUAUUGCACAAUGGGGGAAACCCUGAUGCAGCGACGCCGCGUGAGUGAAGAAGUAUUUCGGUAUGUAAAGCUCUAUCAGCAGGGAAGAUAAUGACGGUACCUGAGUAAGAAGCCCCGGCUAACUACGUGCCAGCAGCCGCGGUAAUACGUAGGGGGCAAGCGUUAUCCGGAUUUAAUGGGUGUAAAGGGAGCGUAGACGGCAUGGCAAGUCUGAAGUGAAAGCCCGUGGCUCAACCGCGGGACUGCUUUGGAAACUGUUAAGCUGGAGUGCAGGAGAGGUAGGUGGAAUUCCUAGUGUAGCGGUGAAAUGCGUAGAUAUUAGGAGGAACACCAGUGGCGAAGGCGGCUUGCUGGACUGUAACUGACGUUGAGGCUCGAAAGCGUGGGGAGCAAACAGGAUUAGAUACCCGAGUAGUC